CCUACGGGUGGCAGCAGUGGGGGAUAUUGCACAAUGGGGGAAACCCUGAUGCAGCGACGCCGCGUGGGCGAAGAAGUAUUUCGGUAUGUAAAGCCCUAUCAGCAGGGAAGAAGAAAUGACGGUACCUGAGUAAGAAGCACCGGCUAAAUACGUGCCAGCAGCCGCGGUAAUACGUAUGGUGCAAGCGUUAUCCGGAUUUACUGGGUGUAAAGGGAGCGCAGGCGGCACGGCAAGCCUGAUGUGAAAGCCCGCGGCCCAACCGCGGGACUGCAUUGGGAACUACCGGGCUGGAGGGCCGGAGAGGGAGGCGGAAAUCCUAGGGUAGCGGGGAAAAGCGUAGAUAUUAGGAGGAAAAACAGGGGCGAAGGCGGCCUACUGGACGGUGACGGACGCCGAGGCUCGAAAGCGUUGGGAGCAAACAGGAUUAGAUACCCUGGUAGUC
This 442-nucleotide ribosomal RNA is filed under the name uncultured bacterium. RNAcentral's name for it is "partial 16S ribosomal RNA". It matches the Rfam family "Bacterial small subunit ribosomal RNA", at positions 338 to 795 of the family's 1533-position model. The record is from RNAcentral.